This 678-nucleotide ribosomal RNA is filed under the name Pochazia shantungensis. RNAcentral describes it as "SSU rRNA". It matches the Rfam family "Eukaryotic small subunit ribosomal RNA", at positions 804 to 1491 of the family's 1831-position model. Lineage: Eukaryota; Metazoa; Arthropoda; Insecta; Hemiptera; Ricaniidae. The record is from RNAcentral.
CUGACCGAGGGUAAAGUAAUGGGAACUCCCUCCUCCCUUGGGAACUUCGCAAGCCGGAUCCCGAUCGAUGGGGACGCUCGGUGGAUUUGAGGUGCGACGUUAGAGGUGAAAUUCUUGGAUCGUCGCAAGACGGACCGAAUCGAAAGCAUUUGCCAAGUAUGUUCUCGUCGAUCAAGAACGAAAGUUAGAGGUUCGAAGGCGAUCAGAUACCGCCCUAGUUCUAACCAUAAACUAUGCCUGCCAGCGAUCCGCCGAAGUUCCUCCGAUGACUCGGCGGGCAGCUUCCGGGAAACCAGAGCUUUUGGGUUCCGGGGGAAGUAUGGUUGCAAAGCUGAAACUUAAAGGAAUUGACGGAAGGGCACCACCAGGAGUGGAGCCUGCGGCUUAAUUUGACUCAACACGGGAAAACUCACCAGGCCCGGACACCGGAAGGAUUGACAGAUUGAGAGCUCUUUCUUGAUUCGGUGGGUGGUGGUGCAUGGCCGUUCUUAGUUGGUGGAGCGAUUUGUCUGGUUAAUUCCGAUAACGAACGAGACUCUAGCCUACUAACUAGGCGUACCCGGUAUCCACAAUCGUGCUACCGGCGAUCUAAUUUCUUCUUAGAGGGACGGGCGGCUUCUAUCCGCACGAGACUGAUCAAUAACAGGUCUGUGAUGACCUUAUUUGUCCUUGGCUUGA